RNAcentral lists this ribosomal RNA (465 nucleotides) under Vreelandella stevensii. RNAcentral describes it as "partial 16S ribosomal RNA". It matches the Rfam family "Bacterial small subunit ribosomal RNA", at positions 338 to 795 of the family's 1533-position model. The record is from RNAcentral. Lineage: Bacteria; Pseudomonadati; Pseudomonadota; Gammaproteobacteria; Oceanospirillales; Halomonadaceae.
CCUACAGGGAGCAGCAGUGGGGAAUAUUGGACAAUGGGCGAAAGCCUGAUCCAGCCAUGCCGCGUGUGUGAAGAAGGCCUUCGGGUUGUAAAGCACUUUCAGUGGGGAAGAAAGCCUUGGGGCUAAUACCCUCGAGGAAGGACAUCACCCACAGAAGAAGCACCGGCUAACUCCGUGCCAGCAGCCGCGGUAAUACGGAGGGUGCGAGCGUUAAUCGGAAUUACUGGGCGUAAAGCGCGCGUAGGCGGUCUGAUAAGCCGGUUGUGAAAGCCCCGGGCUCAACCUGGGAACGGCAUCCGGAACUGUCAGGCUAGAGUGCAGGAGAGGAAGGUAGAAUUCCCGGUGUAGCGGUGAAAUGCGUAGAGAUCGGGAGGAAUACCAGUGGCGAAGGCGGCCUUCUGGACUGACACUGACGCUGAGGUGCGAAAGCGUGGGUAGCAAACAGGAUUAGAUACCCCUGUAGUC